RNAcentral lists this ribosomal RNA (734 nucleotides) under uncultured Fusobacterium sp. Its description in RNAcentral is "bacterial SSU rRNA". It matches the Rfam family "Bacterial small subunit ribosomal RNA", at positions 28 to 776 of the family's 1533-position model. Lineage: Bacteria; Fusobacteriati; Fusobacteriota; Fusobacteriia; Fusobacteriales; Fusobacteriaceae. The record is from RNAcentral.
GAUGAACGCUGACGGAAUGCUUAACACAUGCAAGUCUUUGGCGAAGCUGUGCUUGCACAGCCUAGCCAAGGCGGACGGGUGAGUAACGCGUAAAGAACUUGCCUCACAGUUAGGGACAACAUUUGGAAACGAAUGCUAAUACCUGAUAUUAUGAUUUUAGGGCAUCCUAAGAUUAUGAAAGCUAUAUGCGCUGUGAGAGAGCUUUGCGUCCCAUUAGCUAGUUGGAGAGGUAACGGCUCACCAAGGCGAUGAUGGGUAGCCGGCCUGAGAGGGUGAACGGCCACAAGGGGACUGAGACACGGCCCUUACUCCUACGGGAGGCAGCAGUGGGGAAUAUUGGACAAUGGACCAAAAGUCUGAUCCAGCAAUUCUGUGUGCACGAUGACGUUUUUCGGAAUGUAAAGUGCUUUCAGUUGGGAAGAAAAAAAUGACGGUACCAACAGAAGAAGUGACGGCUAAAUACGUGCCAGCAGCCGCGGUAAUACGUAUGUCACAAGCGUUAUCCGGAUUUAUUGGGCGUAAAGCGCGUCUAGGUGGUUAUGUAAGUCUGAUGUGAAAAUGCAGGGCUCAACUCUGUAUUGCGUUGGAAACUGCAUGACUAGAGUACUGGAGAGGUAAGCGGAACUACAAGUGUAGAGGUGAAAUUCGUAGAUAUUUGUAGGAAUGCCGAUGGGGAAGCCAGCUUACUGGACAGAUACUGACGCUAAAGCGCGAAAGCGUGGGUAGCAAACAGG